Long non-coding RNA from Perca flavescens (yellow perch), 1152 nucleotides. RefSeq lists it as uncharacterized. Lineage: Eukaryota; Metazoa; Chordata; Actinopteri; Perciformes; Percidae. The record is from RefSeq and is a predicted model, not a curated record. The transcript has 5 exons.
UUGAAGGCUUAGAACAUACAGUAUGUGAAUAGGAAGUACAUUGGGAGUCGUCAGGGGCAGCACCUUCAGUUAUCAUUUUUUCCGAUACUGCAGUCAAAAUGAUCCUGCAACAUUUUACACAGCUCACCUCGAGGACAUGCACCAGAGCCUCACUCGCAUCUCGUACCCUCUUUGGAGGAGCAGACGUGGAGGGGAACAGUGAUGGCAGCACACGUACACCUUAAAAAAUGCUGGGUUAUUUCAUCUACCCAACCGCUGGGUUAUGAAAUGUUUUACCCAUUAUGGGUUAUUUAUAUGGAAGUUGGGUUAUUUUGUGCAACUCAUGUGUUGAGUCAAAAUCCAUCAACCCAACAUACAUCGGUUGACCCAGCACUUGGGUUGUUUGUGCUUCGAACGUCAUCAGAUCAUCACCAGAGUCCACACACCGAGCGCUUGUCACAGCAGAGAACCAGUCUGGUCAUCCAACGAGGCAAAUACAUAAUAAAAGAUCAAUGGAUAGCUUUGUCAUUAACACUUUGACAGAGUGCCAGACCUUGUCGAAAGAUUUAAAAGCUUCCACGUAAUAUGUCAAAGUGACUCAAAUAGAUGAAUAGAGCCGGCCACUGGAUUCCUGGAGGAAAGGCUGCGGAACGUCAGGAAGCGGCUGAGAUCAACCAGCAGGUUGCAGAGCACGGCACAGACACCACCACAAACGCCAGAUGAUGGCGCUCUUGCAAGGGCUCUCAUACCAGAAUGUACCAUAUCAGACGAACGUGGGUCACAGCUUAAAGAAUGGUUGAGAAAUAAUUCUCAGCCCCUCAGCCAGAUAGAGAACUACAUGCCGAACACAGCAGUCUACAGGGCCAAGUGGAUUAGGGACAACAAUUGGACCAUCGAUCAGAUCCUCGAAGAGUUCCCUCACCUAAUGACCAAAGGCAUGAUUCCACAGGCUUGUCCUGCAUGGGGAUGCUGCAUCAAAGUUGUUUGAAACUUGGUCACGUGAAAUGCCAGGAGGGGAGUCUAAAAUGGUAAAGUUUAUUCAAAGUAGAAUACUUGCUUGCAAGUAGAGCUAAUGGCUCUUAAUAGCAGCUUUUUAAUAGGAAUUUGAAUUUGUUCACUAUAGACCUGUUGAAUGUUCAGCCAGUUCAUUCGUAAUUGUUGUUUUGCUCUGAA